AAAGGGGAAGAAGCUAAAGUGAAAGAGCAGCUCAGACUCAUUCACGGAACUGAUGGAGAUGUGGCAGGAGACAACAUCUUUUCAAGUGUUACAGAAGCAGAGACCUGAAAGUCUGGAAACCAAGGAUACAUCAGAGAGGACUGUGGCUCAGGUGUCUUGUCCUAGAGCAUGCUCUGGUCUCUGUUAUCAUCUCAUCCUUGAGCCUUGUCUCCUGUCAAGGCCAUUUUGUGCUGCUGGAGAAGAACUUAGAAAUCCUGAACACAUCUACAUUGGACAGUGGCAAAUCCAAAUCCCAUCGUUUACUGGCUGAACUACCUGAGAAAUCCGCAAUUAUGCUAUCUCCAGCUUUUCUCUGAAGCCGGGUUAAGACUUGUUUUCUUCCCUUGCUUUCCUUCUCCUGUGGAUAAUCUGGGAAUGCUUAAGAGGAAUGGUAGGAAAUGUGAUUAGUAAAUGGUUCUGGGGUUAUUCAGUAUUCUGUUUGCGUUUUUGUUUUAUAUCUUAAGUCAAUCACAUACCAUAAUAGGCUAUUUGUCACCACAGAUAUCUGUAUACAUAAAGGAUAAGUAGGUACUGAAUAUACGCUUUUAACAAUGUUCUAAGCAUUGCCAGUGAUAUAUUAUUUUCUUUUAUCUCCUCUGUAUAUCUCUCUAUCAAGGGAGUGUCAUUGGGUGUAUCCCAGUGGAACUGAACAGAUUCUAAUCAACUGCUAAGAAAAGAAGAUAUUACACCAAGACAAGAAUAGCUGCUUGAUAGAAGCUCCUCUGUAAAAGUAUAAUUCUUUGAUGUUCUCUUUUUUGCUAUUGUGAGGUACUGAGUAAAGAUGGUAUUUAAAAAAAAAAUCUAACUUCAGGUAUUUUUCUGUGGACAUAAAAGGCGAGAUUCAUGCCGGCAGGCAAGAGGCUUCUUGGUGCGUCCAUUGACGUGCA
Long non-coding RNA from Struthio camelus australis, 926 nucleotides. RefSeq lists it as uncharacterized. The record is from RefSeq and is a predicted model, not a curated record. NCBI's taxonomy places the organism in Eukaryota, Metazoa, Chordata, Aves, Struthioniformes, Struthionidae.